GGAAGGCCUCUCUUUCCUGAUAAGGACUCAGCCAAUGAAAAGUCACGAACUCUUUAACCAGCCCAACUUCCGUUUCCUCCCUAUAAAAGCAUUUUUCUUCUGUUGAGGUGCAGGGACUUGACUUGAUGCAGCUGGCCAUGGUUGCAGAUCUCAAGUUAUGGUUAGUUCUCUGCUCGUCCUAACUAAACCCAUCUUGGCUGGAGCAGUAUCUGCAAGUUUGUUUCAGGUCAACAAGAGCCAAAAAACCCAAGCUUUGAAAAAAGUACAUAAUGGAUAACAGUGGCCUGUGUAGCAGAGAGACACUGGUGAACUUGAGAAAGCUGGAGGAUCCUCCUUUCUUAGGCAGCCACACCUGCAAACCCAGACUGCAGCCCACCAGGCUUCUCCAUCCAUGGGAUUUUCCAGACAAGAAUACUGGAGUGAGUUGCCAUUUUCUUUUCCAGGGGAUCUUCCUGACCUAAGGGUUGAACAGAUGUCUCCUGCAUUGACAGGCAAAUUAA
This is a long non-coding RNA of Bos taurus (domestic cattle), 500 nucleotides long. The record is from Ensembl. Lineage: Eukaryota; Metazoa; Chordata; Mammalia; Artiodactyla; Bovidae.